This 506-nucleotide ribosomal RNA is filed under the name uncultured bacterium. RNAcentral's name for it is "partial 16S ribosomal RNA". It matches the Rfam family "Bacterial small subunit ribosomal RNA", at positions 29 to 523 of the family's 1533-position model. The record is from RNAcentral.
AGUGAACGCUGGCGGUAGGCCUAACACAUGCAAGUCGAACGGCAGCACAGGAGAGCUUGCUCUCUGGGUGGCGAGUGGCGGACGGGUGGGGAAUACAUCGGAGUCUACUUUUUCGUGGGGGAUAACGUAGGGAAACUUACGCUAAUACCGCAUACGACCUACGGGUGAAAGCAGGGGAUCUUCGGACCUUGCGCGAUUGAAUGAGCCGAUGUCGGAUUAGCUAGUUGGCGGGGUAAAGGCCCACCAAGGCGACGAUCCGUAGCUGGUCUGAGAGGAUGAUCAGCCACACUGGAACUGAGACACGGUCCAGACUCCUACGGGAGGCAGCAGUGGGGAAUAUUGGACAAUGGGCGCAAGCCUGAUCCAGCCAUACCGCGUGGGUGAAGAAGGCCUUCGGGUUGUAAAGCCCUUUUGUUGGGAAAGAAAUCCAUCUGGUUAAUACCCGGGUGGGAUGACGGUACCCAAAGAAUAAGCACCGGCUAACUUCGUGCCAGCCGCCGCAGUAA